This 730-nucleotide ribosomal RNA is filed under the name Acinetobacter baumannii. RNAcentral describes it as "bacterial SSU rRNA". It matches the Rfam family "Bacterial small subunit ribosomal RNA", at positions 488 to 1219 of the family's 1533-position model. Lineage: Bacteria; Pseudomonadati; Pseudomonadota; Gammaproteobacteria; Moraxellales; Moraxellaceae. The record is from RNAcentral.
AAGCACAGGCUAACUCUGUGCCAGCAGCCCGGUAAUACAGAGGGUGCGAGCGUUAAUCGGAUUUACUGGGCGUAAAGCGUGCGUAGGCGGCUUAUUAAGUCGGAUGUGAAAUCCCCGAGCUUAACUUGGGAAUUGCAUUCGAUACUGGUGAGCUAGAGUAUGGGAGAGGAUGGUAGAAUUCCAGGUGUAGCGGUGAAAUGCGUAGAGAUCUGGAGGAAUGCCGAUGGCGAAGGCAGCCAUCUGGCCUAAUACUGACGCUGAGGUACGAAAGCAUGGGGAGCAAACAGGAUUAGAUACCCUGGUAGUCCAUGCCGUAAACGAUGUCUACUAGCCGUUGGGGCCUUUGAGGCUUUAGUGGCGCAGCUAACGCGAUAAGUAGACCGCCUGGGGAGUACGGUCGCAAGACUAAAACUCAAAUGAAUUGACGGGGGCCCGCACAAGCGGUGAGAGCAUGUGGUUUAAUUCGAUGCAACGCGAAGAACCUUACCUGGCCUUGACAUACUAGAAACUUUCCAGAGAUGGAUUGGUGCCUUCGGGAAUCUAGAUACAGGUGCUGCAUGGCUGUCGUCAGCUCGUGUCGUGAGGUGUUGGGUUAAGUCCCGCAACGAGCGCAACCCUUUUCCUUACUUGCCAGCAUUUCGGAUGGGAACUUUAAGGAUACUGCCAGUGACAAACUGGAGGAAGGCGGGGACGACGUCAAGUCAUCAUGCCCUUACGGCCAGGGCUACAC